RNAcentral lists this ribosomal RNA (429 nucleotides) under Gemmatimonadota bacterium. Its description in RNAcentral is "Gemmatimonadetes bacterium partial 16S ribosomal RNA". It matches the Rfam family "Bacterial small subunit ribosomal RNA", at positions 355 to 776 of the family's 1533-position model. The record is from RNAcentral. Lineage: Bacteria; Pseudomonadati; Gemmatimonadota.
UAGGGAAUCUUCGGCAAUGGACGAAAGUCUGACCGAGCAACGCCGCGUGAGUGAAGAAGGUUUUCGUAUCGUAAAACUCUGUUGUUAGAGAAGAAGAAGGACGUUAGUAACUGAACGUCCCCUUACGGUAUCUAACCAGAAAGCCACGGCUAACUACGUGCCAGCAGCCGCGGUAAUACGUAGGUGGCAAGCGGUGUUCGGAUUUAUUUGUCGUAAAGCGAGCGCAGGCGGUUUCUUAAGUCUGAUGUGAAAGCCCCCUGCUCAAGCGGGGAGGGUCAUUGAUAACUGGGAGACUGGAGUGCAGAAGGGGAUGGUGGAAUUCCAUGUGUAGCGGUGGAAUGCGUAGAUAUAUGGAGGACCACCAGUGGAGAAGGCGGCUCUCUGGUAUGUAACUGACGCUGAGGCUCGAAGGCGUGGGGAACAAACAGG